UUUAAUUAUUCAUUUCUAUUUGCUUGAAGAAACAUUCUUACAUGACACGCAUACGUCCGUGCAUUUUCCUUGUUGCAGCAACAUGAAUUAAAUAAGCCGCUUUCACAAGUAGACCAACUUCAAGGGAUUUCUCGCUAACUUGUUUUCUCUAUGCUCUUCGCACUUUCUCCGCUCAGCUGAAGAAAAGGUAGAGCCUGGUAACCCGGAAGAUGUCAGGAACAAGACAGGAGGAUCUUUCCAGUGCUCCUUCAAAUAACUUUACAUUGUAUAUAAAAGUCCCCUUACGAAAGGUGAUGCUGUGUCAUAUGCUGUGUCAUAGUUUCUCAAAGUAACCAGUUUACAUAAUCCAUCGUGGCUUGAAUUCUCUCCAAUACUACUACAUGGGGUCCACUGUGUCUUGAAUGCCUC
This 408-nucleotide long non-coding RNA is filed under the name Mus spretus (western wild mouse). RNAcentral describes it as "predicted gene 11656 (ENSMSPG00010040087.1)". The record is from RNAcentral. Lineage: Eukaryota; Metazoa; Chordata; Mammalia; Rodentia; Muridae.